UACGUAGGGGGCAAGCGUUGUCCGGAUUUACUGGGCGUAAAGAGCGCGUAGGCGGAAGCUUAAGUGUGGCCUGAAAGCCCCCGGCUCAACCGGGGAAGGUGGCUGCAAACUGGGCUUCUUGAGGGGGAUAGGGGAAAGUGGAAUUCCGGGUGUAGCGGUGAAAUGCGUAGAGAUCUGGAGGAACACCAAUGGCGAAGGCAGCACUCUGGGACGUGACUGACGCUGAGACGCGAAAGCGUGGGGAGCGAACAGG
RNAcentral lists this ribosomal RNA (253 nucleotides) under uncultured bacterium. Its description in RNAcentral is "partial 16S ribosomal RNA". It matches the Rfam family "Bacterial small subunit ribosomal RNA", at positions 524 to 776 of the family's 1533-position model. The record is from RNAcentral.